GGGCGAACAGAUUGGUUUUUUUUUGUGUUGACGCAUUAUGAUUUGACGACGUAAUCCAUUUCUACAGACUACAGACCACAAGUUAGCCGACCCCGACUGUCAUUCGCGAGCACCGCCGCCGCUCGCCAGAAUGACACUUCGGGUGAUCCUCUCCCGCCUGCGCCUCACCCCUCUCAUCCACGACGGCCACCACCUGCGACGCUCUCUAUCCGCCGCCGCUGCCAAACUACCUGACGAGUUGCCUCCUGGCGCGCCGGCGCCAACCUCCGACUCCAGGCUCUUCGUCGCAGGGCUGUCGUGGUCCGUGGACGAGCGCUCCCUCACGGACGCCUUCUCCUCCUUCGGCACCGUCACCGAAGAUGGUGCACAGUGUAGGUCUUCGGCUAAAUGCCGUGGAGGCCGUGAGCCACUCCAUCGCCCCCAGGCCUGCAGCCUGUUCGACGAAAUUCCUGUUAGGGACGUGGUCACCUGCUCAGCUGCAAUUUACCGACAUGCGAGGAGCGGGCUGUUCCAUGAGUCAGCUGAGCUGUUUGUUGGCAUGAUGAGGGCAGGUGUGUGCCCAAACUCGUUCACCUUGGUCGGUGUGUUGCUUGCGGCUGCUGGUCUGGGUGACGUUGUGCUUGCCCAGUGCAUUCAUGGGUGGGCUGCGAAGAGUCGGUUGGAAUCCAAUCAUUUUGUUUCAAGCGCACUAGUGGAUGCAUAUGCGAAAUGUGGGCGCCCCAUGAAUGCAUUGGCAUUUUUUAAUGAUUUGAGGGAUCCUAAUGUAGUUUCCUGGAAUGCGAUGAUCUCCGGAUUAGUGCACAAUGUUUUGUUUGUUGAAGCAGUAUUCGUGUUCAAGAGGUUGUGUUGUUGCUUUGGGUCAGUUCCUAAUAAUGCUGUGACCAUGAUUAAUGUCGCUCAAGCGUAUGCUGGUUGUGGUGACCUUGGAAUGUGCAAGAGUGUACAUGCUUAUGCAGUUAAGGCCGGUUUUGAUUUGGAUGUCUUGGUGACAAACUCAAUACUUGGCAUGUACUUGAGUUUUGGAGAUAUUGAGAUUGGAAGAGAGAUUUUCAGGAAAAAUAUUGUUCGGAAUGUGGUUACUUGGACAAUGAUGAUGGGUUUCCUUCUUAAGCAGGUGCAUGCUGGUGAAGUUAUAAUGCUCUUUGUUCAGAUGAGGUCAAAUGGCAUAGUUCCUGACAGGGUAGCAAUGGUCAGUUUGGUGCAAGCUUGUGCACUUCUGGGUGAUGCAAGGAGAGGAAAAAUGGUUCACAACCAAAUGAUCACCGGUGGGUUUAGUAGUGAGCUUCCUGCAGUUAAUUCAUUAAUCACUAUGUAUUCCAAAUGCAAGGAUUUAAGUUCUGCUAGAGUGUUGUUUGAUGGAAUGAGGAAGAAAAGUUUAGUUUCUUGGACUGCAAUGGUGUCUGGGUAUAUAGGAAGUGGAAGAGCCCUAGAGGGGAUGCUUCUAUUUGGUAAGAUGAGACAUGAGAAUAAUUUUGUGAUUGAUUCUGUGGCAUUAGUCAGCUUAUUGACUGGAUGCUACGAGACUGCUAAGUUUGAUCUAUGUGUUCAACUUCAUGGGUAUAGCUACAAGUCAGGUUUAUAUCUUUAUAGACCUGUCCCUAAUACCUUCAUAGCAGUUUAUGGUAAGUGUGGAUAUGCCAUUUUAGCUCAUAAAGUAUUUGAUGACAUGAUUUCUCGAGAUGUUGUUUCAUGGAAUACCCUGAUAUUAUCCUAUGGUAUAAAUGGCCAAGGAGAGCAAGCAGUAGCACUUUUUAAUGACAUGGAGGAAUCUAGUGAAAAGCGAGACAGUGUAACAUACUUGAAUGCAAUGCUGGCGUGCAGCCAUUCUGGACAAGUUGAUGAUGGGUUGAUCAUAUUCAGGAGAAUGAUUAUUGAGAAGCGUGUAAAUCCUUGCCAGGAGCACAUCGGAUGCCUAGUAGAUAUGUUGGCAAGAGCUGGUCGCUUGGAUGAAGCAGCCGAAGUGGCUAGCUUGACUAGCAAUGAGGGAGCAAAUCCUUGGAAGGCUUUGAUGGGAGGAGGUCACCUGUAUAGUCAGACAGAAUUAACUGAAGUUGCUGCUGAGAAAGUGCUGAAUGCGGACUCAUUUGAUAACGGCCAUGUGGUGUUACUUUCUAACACUUGUGCAUCGGCUGGAAAGUAUAGUGAUGCUGAAUCUAUCCGAUCCUGUUAUUCGAAACAAACACGAAAGAAAAUUCUAGGGCUUAGUUCCAUUGAGAUUAUGCUAUCCAGCACAAGAUAGGCACUAUAUUUCUCACAAUGGAAGGGGAAAGAUGCAUGAGACAAUUGCCAUACACUAUCUGUCUAUCUCAAAGUAUUGGAGAUCUGUUUUAGGCAUGAAAGAUGGAAUUUUACUUUGCAGACUGCAAGGUUCACUGAUUAAAAGAGAAACCUCAAGAAUGAGGUUUCAGAUAGCACAUUUGAUGCAUUGGGAAAUUGCAUCAGUCUUUAUAUUGUGGUAGACUAAGUUUCUAGUAAUUCAGGAGCCUUAUAUCAAUUAGAAUAAUGUAUGACAAAAACUCUGGAAGGUCAAGAGGCUUUGGAUUUGUUCAUUUCUCAAAUGAUAAUGAAGCUAAGUGUGCCAAGGAUGCUAUGGAUGGGAAGGUAAUGCUAGGGCGGCCAUUGCGAAUAAGUUUUGCCCUUGGAAGAGUUCGUGGCGCAUCAGUUAUUGUUCCUCGACUUUCUACGCAGGUGAAAUGAGCAGAAGCAUUGGUCGUGGCAUACUGGCAUGGACCGAUGGACAUAUCAGGAGGGUUGCGAAGUACCCAUAUAGGCUAGUGUUUUUAAUCUUGCAAGGUAGGGAUCUUAGUCGAAGGCGCCUGGCAAUGGCGUGAAGGGCAGCGUGGCAAAGAAGAUGAUGGCUAUGUUUGUCGCCCCAAUUUGCUCGAUGUUGAAGCAUUUCACGAGGUGCAUUGUAGCUUUGCAGCCACCUCGUGUGAGGCCGCCUUUUCGAAUGUCUCGUUUGAUGUGUGUGAGUGAGAGAGAGAGACUCUUCUUGAAUUGAUUCAUGUCAAAUGUAUCCAGUAGGGGCUUUUCGCCCCCUCCUGUUUCAUAAAAAAAAAUCAUGUAAACUGUAAAUUUGUGGUGGCAACCGUCACUACGCACUAGUACAACGCAGUUAAACUGUCUUCGAUUCUUCA
This is an RNA transcript of Zea mays, 3137 nucleotides long. It is a transcript of the gene named glycine-rich RNA-binding protein 4, mitochondrial, with no coding region annotated. Lineage: Eukaryota; Viridiplantae; Streptophyta; Magnoliopsida; Poales; Poaceae. The record is from RefSeq and is a predicted model, not a curated record. The transcript has 6 exons.